Molecule: transfer RNA, 73 nt
Filed under: Patescibacteria group bacterium
Lineage: Bacteria
Description: tRNA-Cys
Rfam family: tRNA
About the family: Transfer RNA (tRNA) molecules are approximately 80 nucleotides in length.
Source: RNAcentral
GGCGCGGUGGUGAAGUAGCUAACACAGCUGUCUGCAGAACAGCCAUUCGUGGGUGCAAGUCCCACCCGCGCCU